CAGUCGCCGCGGUAAUACGGAGGGGGCUAGCGUUGUUCGGAAUUACCGGGCGUAAAGCGCACGUAGGCGGCUUGGUAAGUUAGAGGUGAAAGCCUGGAGCUCAACUCCAGAAUUGCCUUUAAGACUGCCGAGCUAGCAGGUGAGAGAGGUAAGUGGAAUUCCGAGUGUAGAGGUGAAAUUCGUAGAUAUUCGGAAGAACACCAGUGGCGAAGGCGGCUUACUGGCUCAUACUGGACGCUGAGGUGCGAAAGCGUGGGGAGCAAACAGGAUUAGAUACCCCUGUAGUCCCUGUCUCUUAUAC
This 301-nucleotide ribosomal RNA is filed under the name uncultured bacterium. RNAcentral's name for it is "partial 16S ribosomal RNA". It matches the Rfam family "Bacterial small subunit ribosomal RNA", at positions 509 to 807 of the family's 1533-position model. The record is from RNAcentral.